This 280-nucleotide ribosomal RNA is filed under the name uncultured bacterium. RNAcentral describes it as "partial 16S ribosomal RNA". It matches the Rfam family "Bacterial small subunit ribosomal RNA", at positions 338 to 630 of the family's 1533-position model. The record is from RNAcentral.
CCUACGGGAGGCAGCAGUGGGGAAUAUUGCGCAAUGGGCGAAAGCCUGACGCAGCAACGCCGCGUGAGGGAUGAAGGCCUUCGGGUUGUAAACCUCUUUUAGCAGGGAAGAAGCGAAAGUGACGGUACCUGCAGAAAAAGCACCGGCUAACUACGUGCCAGCAGCCGCGGUAAUACGUAGGGUGCAAGCGUUAUCCGGAAUUAUUGGGCGUAAAGAGCUCGUAGGCGGUUUGUCGCGUCUGCUGUGAAAAUCUGAGGCUCAACCUCGGACUUGCAGUGGG